This 580-nucleotide unclassified non-coding RNA is filed under the name Rhodotorula sp. JSKim-2015. Its description in RNAcentral is "partial contains 18S rRNA, ITS1, 5.8S rRNA, and ITS2". The stretch from base 166 to 319 matches the Rfam family "5.8S ribosomal RNA". Lineage: Eukaryota; Fungi; Basidiomycota; Microbotryomycetes; Sporidiobolales; Sporidiobolaceae. The record is from RNAcentral.
GAAGGAUCAUUAGUGAAUAUAGGACGUCCAACUUAACUUGGAGUCCGAACUCUCACUUUCUAACCCUGUGCACUUGUUUGGGAUAGUAACUCUCGCAAGAGAGCGAACUCCUAUUCACUUAUAAACACAAAGUCUAUGAAUGUAUUAAAUUUUAUAACAAAAUAAAACUUUCAACAACGGAUCUCUUGGCUCUCGCAUCGAUGAAGAACGCAGCGAAAUGCGAUAAGUAAUGUGAAUUGCAGAAUUCAGUGAAUCAUCGAAUCUUUGAACGCACCUUGCGCUCCAUGGUAUUCCGUGGAGCAUGCCUGUUUGAGUGUCAUGAAUACUUCAACCCUCCUCUUUCUUAAUGAUUGAAGAGGUGUUUGGUUUCUGAGCGCUGCUGGCCUUUACGGUCUAGCUCGUUCGUAAUGCAUUAGCAUCCGCAAUCGAACUUCGGAUUGACUUGGCGUAAUAGACUAUUCGCUGAGGAAUUCUAGUCUUCGGAUUAGAGCCGGGUUGGGUUAAAGGAAGCUUCUAAUCAGAAUGUCUACAUUUUAAGAUUAGAUCUCAAAUCAGGUAGGACUACCCGCUGAACUUAAGC